Molecule: transfer RNA, 71 nt
Filed under: Fukomys damarensis (Damara mole-rat)
Lineage: Eukaryota; Metazoa; Chordata; Mammalia; Rodentia; Bathyergidae
Rfam family: tRNA
About the family: Transfer RNA (tRNA) molecules are approximately 80 nucleotides in length. Their secondary structure includes four short double-helical elements and three loops (D, anti-codon, and T loops).
Source: Rfam by way of RNAcentral
GGGGAUGUAGCUCAGUGGUAGAGUGCUCACCUAAUAUGUGCAAGGCCCUGGAUUCAAUCCCAGCUUCUGCA